Small nucleolar RNA from Osmerus eperlanus (European smelt), 127 nucleotides. RefSeq annotates it as small nucleolar RNA SNORA71. The record is from RefSeq and is a predicted model, not a curated record. The transcript has a single exon. NCBI's taxonomy places the organism in Eukaryota, Metazoa, Chordata, Actinopteri, Osmeriformes, Osmeridae.
CCCUGUAUCGAAAGUGACCAUGGUGUGAUUGUCGCCGGGUCAUUGAUAGUACAGGAACAACAAAUUUGAAAGCUUUCCCGUGUUUGUUGGAAUCCAUGUUCCUGUCAAACCCUGUAUCUUUCAUACA